AGAUUUUCAAGGUAAACUAGUAUGUUUAGUAUGUCACAUAUGCACGUAUUUAAUAAGUCAAUAUUGACUAUAAGAAAGUGGAGAACGGGUUGCAUUGACACCGUUGAUAUGAAGGAAUUUUUUAAACUUUCAACUUCAAGAACUAGAGGCUAUAAAUUUAAGCUAAGGAAAUAAAAUAUGCUAAAAAAUAUAAGUAAGUUUGCAAAGAGUUGUAAAAGGUUGGUACAAUUUUGGUGAGGUGGUGGUGGUGGCUAUGGAGGCCAAACCCAUCAGUAGUUUCAAAUCAUCACAUGACAAUUUAUUGGGAAGAUGGGACACCAUGAGCAUAGCUCUCAUCAUGUAGCUACUACACUUAGGUAAUUACUGUACACACAUGUGCACAUACAUACUCAUAUAUAUAAAAUACACUCGCACACAAACAUGUUACAAAUGGUUAGGAGGUAAAUUCCUAUCCCCCGUAGUUACUGAAAGGUAAACACACACACACAAUUACACACAGAGCAUAUACAGUUCUUAAACAUGUUUAAGUCUCAAAUAGGCUCUGGUACACAAGUACCCGUACUUGUGAACUUUGGUUUCCUGUCCUCGUCGAGGUCACUAGGGUUAGUGGCCCUCAGGUAAAUCCGGUAAAUCAAAUUGAUUAGAGAAUGAGAAGUCAAAUCAAAGAACUGAAGUUCUUCCCCCCCAUUAGCACAAUUAGGCGAGUUCACUAGUACAAAUUUCAAGAACAUGUGUUGUUAAAAUAUGCAAAAGUAUACCAUUGCAAGCUGUGGUAGCCAGAUGUGCUAAAUAACAAUCGGCUGUGUUUGCCAGCACCUUAGAUGCUUCAACACUCAGUCUAUAUAAUAUGAUAAAUAUAAAGAAAAUGGCACACCACAAGCAUAGCUCUCUUCCAAUAAGUACAUUUCAGUAAUUACGCACACACACACACACACACACACACACACACACACACACAAUGUUCAUACAAGAAUUCCUCAAAUGUUUUUCUACUUAUUAACAUUCCUCAUAUACUGUUCAUCUAGUAAAUCAUGGAAAAUGUUUUCAAUGUUUAAUGUUGAUAUAUUUUGAAGAUUACUAUUUUGUACUUUUCAUGCCUCUAUUGGCAGAAAUCUUAUAUAAAUUGUUAAUCAUAAAGUGUAACAUUAAAAUUCUUUAUGCUUUGUCUUAAAUAUGUAGUGUAACAUAAAUAUUAUAAAGAAGUUUAUACCUUAUUAAUGAAUUAUAUUGAAUUUUAGUAAGGAUGUGGAACUUCCUCUCACCGUGCUUGAGUCUUGGAUGGUGAUGUAAACUUUGGAAUUCUUAAUGGUGAUAACUUCUACUUAAUUAUUUGGCUGAGAAAUAUGUUUCAUAUCCUUUUGUGAUACGGUAUAUGCAGCUAUUUUUUUAUUUACGUUUAGGCAGCAACCUGUGUGAUGGCUGCUGUUAGGCCAAAGUUUCCGAUUGACCUGCUGUGUGGGACCAUCACUAAUGCAGUUAUAAUUAACUUUAAUUGAAACAAUGAAAGCUCAGUUAUAUGUAAGCUGGCAGACUAUUUGAUUUAAUGGGCUUAUGAGUUUAUGACUGCACCCUUUUAUGCUGUAGAUAGUGGACAUAUAUAUAUAAUGGAAUACCUGAUUACAAAUUUUUUGUUGAUUCGGUAGUGUUUUCAACAGCAUUGUGGGCAGAGCUAGCUCUUGUGGCAGUUUGUAGUCUCACCCUAAGCUGGCUUAACUAAAUGCAAACAAAAUCUUAUCAUAGUAAAUCAUUAACUAGUUUCUUGUCACACAGGUGUCCUCCCAAUCUAACCUCGUAUCUUUUGGGCUUAGAUAAUUAGCAUGUCUUUUGAUUAAGAUAUGAAGAAAGCACGAUAUGGACCAAUUGCUUAGUUACACGGCGAGCAGUCAUGCCGCUUAGUUAUAAUGCGCUUAUAAAAUGUUUAUCGCUACGGUAAUUUUAAAAUAUUAAUGAGUUAAAGCCAUUGAUACCUUUUAGCAUUUUGUAAUGUCUUUGCUACAGAAGCAAGUCUUUGGCUAGCCAAUCAGACUUCUUUAUUUUGUAUUUAAAGAUCCUCUACUAACCAAACAAAGUCAGGUUACAGUGAUAGCUUGUAAGCAAUGACUGUAUCAGCUAAGGUACAGUGAUGGUUCAGGACCAGUUACUGUGUAUCAGCUAAGGUACAGUGAUGGUUCAGGACCAGUUACUGUGUAUCAGCUAAGGUACAGUGAUGUUUCAGGACCAGUUACUGUGUAUCAGUUGAGGUACAGUGAUGGUUCAGGACCAGUUACUGUGUAUCAGUUGAGGUAUGGUGAUGGUUCAGGACCAGUUACUGUGUAUCAGCUAAGGUACAGUGAUGUUUCAGGACCAGUUACUGUGUAUCAGCUAAGGUACAGUGAUGUUUCAGGACCAGUUACUGUGUAUCAGCUAAGGUACAGUGAUGUUUCAGGACCAGUUACUGUGUAUCAGCUAAGGUACAGUGAUGUUUCAGGACCAGUUACUGUGUAUCAGCUAAGGUACAGUGAUGUUUCAGGACCAGUUACUGUGUAUCAGCUAAGGUACAGUGAUGUUUCAGGACCAGUUACUGUGUAUCAGUUGAGGUACAGUGAUGGUUCAGGACCAGUUACUGUGUAUCAGCAGCAACUAAUGUAUUAGUUAAGUGUGGCUAAUUCAUGAGUUAAAAAUCAGUGUUUAUAUUACAAGUUGCAUACUGUUCUAUGUUACAAUGGUAGCCACGAGUUAGCUAUUGGCUUAUUGGCCGACACUGGUUACCUGUAUCAUGAUGCUUUCGUUCAUGUUGUCGAAAAUUAAUGCAAGCCUACUUUAUGAUAAAGAAUGUAACAGGUGCAUUCAUCUACAAAUUACACUGUGCACUGCUAAUUUGUCCAAGUUUUUCAUAAUACUGUAAUUAUGCAAAUAUAUUUUGCAGAUAAUAAAUUCAUUAAGAAGUUUACUGACAGAAAUAUCCUGGUUUCCUUUUGUGCAGUUCUAAAAUGCCUUGCCCAAAAUUGGGUGUGGGAAUAGCCAUAUGUACAAAUGAUUAGAUUUUAGUGAAAUGGGUAUACUAGUAAAAACAAAUUUGUAUUAAUUUCUGGUGGGGGCUGAAUGGGAUUCUUGUAGCUAGCUGCACUGAAAUAGCUCCGCACAUCUAAGUCGCAUCAGCCCUAGGAGUCCUUAACAUAUUAUUGGUGACCAGAGGCCAAAACUUGCCCCCCCCCCUCCCCCUUUCUCCCUCACAGAGGAGCAGGGAAUGCAAGAUCACUUUUACUGAAGAAACAAACUUCCAGAAUGAAGGGAGGCAAAACAGACAACUGUAAGGUUCACAAAGUAAACAAACAAUACAGCAAACAAUUCCCCAGAGGUUUGGUUAUACCCCUUAAGUACAGCUGGCCACUGUCAGGUGGUAGCACCACAGGAGCUACCAGCUUUCCAUGUCAACAAUCAUCAUCCUUUGCCUGAUAUCAGACAUGUCUGACAUGCUCCUUCAGUUGCCAGCUCUUUGAGACCCAGAGAUUCUAGAUGUGUUGUUCAUUCUUUGGACUCUAUCCUGUGGAGGGCCCAUUUGCUUGUGUAUUGCUUCAAUACCUAGUGGUUGCUUCACGUGCUUGUGUUUACAAGCCUCACUUGUGGUGUGGACUUUGGAAACUGUUCAUCUCAAGAUGCAUGUGCUUAGGGUAGCCCUGCCCUAGGUGUGAUGUUGGCUCUGCCUUGAUGGUUUCUUCCCUGGUGUGUUUGGAUGUUCAUCCCAGAGGUCGGCUUCCUGUGGAGGAUGCUUCACCCCGAGUAGUGCUAGGGACUUUGACUCGUUUUGCAAGUUUCUGAGGUUGAGGGUAUUCUGGGGUUAUUGAUUAAGGGGGUGCACUCAGGAUCAUGUGCUUGUUAAUAUGGCAUGCCUUGCAGCCACAUUUUUUCUGUGUGGUGUGUUUGGUGUCAGUUCAUCCGGCGAGUGUCCCUAGUGCCUGGGUGUCCUCUUUGAAACCUUCAGGCCUCGGCAAGCUCCACUGGUCUUGGGUGUGGAUUGUCAUUAGAUCAGUGACACCUUUGACCCCAAAUCCUACGGGGGUUUGUUCUUUCUACCCCUCUGAUGAGGUUAGGACCUAUCAGGCAGUGAUCGCCUUUCAUGUCACUGGUUGCAGCGAUUUAAUGUUUUGAGCUUUUAUCUGGACUCUGGAUUUUGGGGCUAUAACAGAAUCCUGAUGGUUCAUUAUUCAGUCAGUGCUUGUGAUCUGUCAUAAUUGUGUUGCCCUUAGUUGUUUUUUCCGUGUGUGAUCUCUCCCUUUAGGGUGUUUGAGCCUUUCUCUCCUGCCCAGGUGUGUCCAAUGUUUUCCUUUUCUCUGUGGUUAGCUAUAGAAGGCCACCAUUUAGCCCCUCCAGAAAACCAUUGUUGAAUAUAAUGAAAUGCCUCUUUCUGGAGGGGGGGGGGGAGGCCUCAGUGGCUCUCCGGACCCUUGACCUCCCCACCAUGUCCGUCAGUCAGUUUCCCUCAGCUCCAGACUGAUGAUUGUUGACGUGGAGAGCGGGCAGCUUCAGUGAUGCUGCCACCUGGUGGGGGGCCAGCUGUAAAUUAGGAAAGGGGGUAUGACCUAACUACUGGGGGGGAUUCUUUGCUGCAUUGUUUGUUUAAUUUCUGGGAUCCCUGCAGUUGUCUAUUUUGCUUCACUUCCUUUUUGGGGGUUUGUUUCUUCAGUGAGGGUGAUCAAGAAUCCCUUGCUCCCCGCAUCUCUGUGAAGGUAGGAGGAGCCAGGUUGUGGUCUCUGGCAGGAUGUUAUCUUGAGGUUAUCUUGAGAUGAUUUCGGGGCUUUUAGUGUCCCCGCGGCCCAGUCCUCGACCAGGCCUCCACCCCCAGGAAGGAUGUUAAGGACUCCUAGGACUAAAGUGCUAGUUUUUUAGUGAAACGAGUAUGAUAAUCAUCUUAAUAUGAAAUGACAAAAUUGGAUAUCUAUUCUUAUUAGCUAAUAUACAUAAUUGAUGUCUAUUUUAAAUCAUGUAUGUUAUUCAAAUACAGUUGUUUAAUUAUCUUGUGUAUAGGACUUCUAAACUUUUGUAUGUUUAAUUAUUUGACGGCCUCCCCACUUGUAUCUCUCCUUUUCAGUAUGUUUCCUUAAUUUAUAAUUUAUGAUAUGUCCAUAUUAAUUAAGACUGCGUGGUUUUGAUGAGCAUUAUAAAAAGGUAGAUAACUUUGUAAUGUGCCAAUAAUUUUAGGUUUUUCGUUGUAGCUUUAGCAAAAGCAGCACAUGGUUAGAUGUUGGUGGGUGUUGGUAAUUGUGGCAUGCUAACUUUGCUGUACUAGAGCUCUGGUGUUGAAUUGUUAGUAACUUUGGGUAAUUUGAAUAAGAACAAAUGCAGUGAAUGAGAAGCAACGAGCCAUGCUCAUAGGAAAGCACAAGAAGAGUGAAUAAUGACAAUCCUGUCAAAAAUGCAAGACUUUCUUUUCUGUUUAUCAUGAUGUUAGUGAGCACAGUUACCUAAUGACAUGCACGUCACUACUGGUGAACAGAUACCCAUGACACACAUAGUCAGUGUACUGGUGAGUAUAGUUACCCAUGACACACAUGUCAGUGUACUGGUGAGUACAGUUACCCAUGACACACAUGUCAGUGUACUGGUGAGUACAGUUACCCAUGACACACAUGUCAGUGUACUGGUGAGUAUAGUUACCCAUGACACACAUGUCAGUGUACUGGUGAGUAUAGUUACCCAUGACACACAUGUCAGUGUACUGGUGAGUAUAGUUACCCAUGACACACAUGUCAGUGUACUGGUGAGUAUAGUUACCCAUGACACACAUGUCAGUGUACUGGUGAGUAUAGUUACCCAUGACACACAUCAGUGUACUGGUGAGCACAGUUACCCAUGACAGAUCAGUGUACUGGUGAGCACAGUUACCCAUGACAGAUCAGUGUGCUAGUGAGCACAGUUACCCAUGACAGAUCAGUGUGCUAUUGAACACAGUUACCCAUGACAGAUCAGUGUGCUAGUGAGCACAGUUACCCAUGACAGAUCAGUGUGCUAGUGAGCACAGUUACCCAUGACAGAUCAGUGUGCUAGUGAGCACAGUUACCCAUAACACACAUCAGUGUGCUAGUGAGCACAGUUACCCAUGACAGAUCAGUGUGCAAGUGAGCACAGUUACCCAUGACAUGAAUUUGAAGAGCAAUUUAUACAUGUUAUUUUGUACUUUGAGCUUGUCACAAAAGUAGGCUUUUAACCCAGUCAUCUCUUACAUGAUUGAGAAGACUGUCAGUAUUUUUUUUCUUUUAUUCUGCUUAAGUACAGUAUAUUGUAACAUGGUCUUUCUAAUACACUCUUAGUAGAAGAAAGUGUAUUCUCUCACUCUAUGGAAUUUAUUUCUUAGGGCCAGUCGGCAGCUCAUCUCAUGCUCGUGGAUGAUGAUUAAAAUGUUGGAGCCAUGCCAGAA
Molecule: non-coding RNA, 6394 nt
Organism: Procambarus clarkii (red swamp crayfish)
Lineage: Eukaryota; Metazoa; Arthropoda; Malacostraca; Decapoda; Cambaridae
Source: RefSeq, a predicted model, not a curated record